Molecule: small RNA, 140 nt
Filed under: Escherichia coli O145:NM str. 06-3484
Lineage: Bacteria; Pseudomonadati; Pseudomonadota; Gammaproteobacteria; Enterobacterales; Enterobacteriaceae
Also listed under: 1 other name
Description: partial QUAD RNA
Rfam family: Short Intergenic Abundant RNA
About the family: This family contains multiple ncRNA from E. coli that were identified in a large scale screen of E. coli, were they were called candidates 43,55 and 61. These RNAs have also been identified by other groups and called QUAD RNAs.
Source: RNAcentral
UUGACAAUCUGACCGUGAAGGCAUACUUUCAGGAGUGAGGGUUGAGCGGGGUUUCCCCCGCCCUGGUAGUCUUAGUAAGCCGGGAAGCUUAUGACUAAGAGCACCACGAUGAUGAUCCACUUCAUCAUGACCCUUUCCUU